This 90-nucleotide transfer RNA is filed under the name Barrientosiimonas humi. RNAcentral describes it as "tRNA-Arg(ccg)". Lineage: Bacteria; Bacillati; Actinomycetota; Actinomycetes; Micrococcales; Dermacoccaceae. The record is from RNAcentral. RNAcentral also lists the same sequence under 1 other name.
CGCCGAACAGGGCUUCGGCCAGCAGGGCCAGUCCGACUCCGGCUUCGGCCAGCAGGGCCAGCCGGGCCAGUCCGACUCCGGCUUCGGUCA